Molecule: ribosomal RNA, 690 nt
Filed under: uncultured Acinetobacter sp.
Lineage: Bacteria; Pseudomonadati; Pseudomonadota; Gammaproteobacteria; Moraxellales; Moraxellaceae
Description: bacterial SSU rRNA
Rfam family: Bacterial small subunit ribosomal RNA
Source: RNAcentral
CGGGUACAUGUUUACUGCCGUUGGGGCCUUUGAGGCUUUAGUGGCGCAGCUAACGCGAUAAGUAGACCGCCUGGGGAGUACGGUCGCAAGACUAAAACUCAAAUGAAUUGACGGGGGCCCGCACAAGCGGUGGAGCAUGUGGUUUAAUUCCAUGCCACGCGAAGAACCUUACCUGGUCUUGACAUACAGAGAACUUUCCAGAGAUGGAUUGGUGCCUUCGGGAACUCUGAUACAGGUGCUGCAUGGCUGUCGUCAGCUCGUGUCGUGAGAUGUUGGGUUAAGUCCCGCAACGAGCGCAACCCUUUUCCUUAUUUGCCAGCACUUCGGGUGGGAACUUUAAGGAUACUGCCAGUGACAAACUGGAGGAAGGCGGGGACGACGUCAAGUCAUCAUGGCCCUUACGACCAGGGCUACACACGUGCUACAAUGGUCGGUACAAAGGGUUGCUACCUCGCGAGAGGAUGCUAAUCUCAAAAAGCCGAUCGUAGUCCGGAUUGGAGUCUGCAACUCGACUCCAUGAAGUCGGAAUCCGCUAGUAAUCGCGGAUCAGAAUGCCGCGGUGAAUACGUUCCCGGGCCUUGUACACACCGCCCGUCACACCAUGGGAGUUUGUUGCCCCAGAAGUAGGUAGUCUAACCCUAAGGAGGACGCUUACCACGGUGUGGCCCAUGACUGGGGUGAAGUCCUAAC